Nematostella vectensis (starlet sea anemone) is the source of this 833-nucleotide long non-coding RNA. RefSeq lists it as uncharacterized. Lineage: Eukaryota; Metazoa; Cnidaria; Anthozoa; Actiniaria; Edwardsiidae. The transcript is spliced from 2 exons. The record is from RefSeq and is a predicted model, not a curated record.
GUGGGAGAAGUAUGUGAGCACUGAUGAUGAAGAUGCCCCAACAUUUGCUACAUAUCUGAAAAAUAUGGCUGCUGACCCGUCUAUUGGGCAACACUUAAAACAGGCAGGGCCAGUUAGCAAGAUCACAGGUACAUACAGUCAGUUGUGAUAUAAUAGAAAGUUUGAUUGCAUUUGAUAUAUCUAUUAGGUAUAUAACAUUACAUCCACAUCAUAAGGUAACUGCCCUGAGGAAUAGCUAAAAUAUAGUUCUAAAAUUGUCCUUUUUUUUCUACUUUACCACAUUCCAAUUCAUUCCUUUCCAAAGUGUCUGAAAAUACCUGUUGGUGUCAGAUUUCAUAUUUGAAUUAGAGAUUUCUAGGAACUAAAGAUGUAAGAACCAUGGAAUUAUAAUGGUCAUUUUUAUCAUUUUACUGUGUUGAUUAGUAAACCCUUCAUACGGUAGCGGUCACCUACACUGUUAGCAAAUUAUUUGCUCACAAUACAGUACAAAUGUCAAAAUGUGUUUGAGUACUGCUUACAUGGGCUUUAAUUAUCGGAUUAUGUCAAGUUAAUUUGGACUUCCUUCCUUUUAUGUCAAACUUCUAUCAGCACGAUUCAGAAUGUUUUAACAUUCUAGAAUUUAGAAAGAAGAAUGUCAUUCGUUUGGCGGUCAAGUUAGGUUCUUGUCGUGUGCUAAGAAAAAAGCAUAUUAGUAGGCAGUCAAUGAUUGAUGGUUAGAAUUGAUAGGAAAAAUACCUCAGGCAUUAGCCCCUGAAGUGCUGCAGUGCUAUUAUUAAAGUCUAUGCACUAAUCAGUCAGGCCAGUUCCAUUACAAUAAAUAUCGAACACACUAU